This 968-nucleotide ribosomal RNA is filed under the name Lactobacillus sp. RNAcentral's name for it is "bacterial SSU rRNA". It matches the Rfam family "Bacterial small subunit ribosomal RNA", at positions 42 to 977 of the family's 1533-position model. Lineage: Bacteria; Bacillati; Bacillota; Bacilli; Lactobacillales; Lactobacillaceae. The record is from RNAcentral.
GCGUGCGCUGCUAUACUGCAGUCGACGCUUUUUUCAAUCAUCGUAGGCUUGCUACACCGAUUGAAAAUUGAGUGGCGAACGGGUGAGUAACACGUGGGUAACCUGCCCAAAAGAGGGGGAUAACACUUGGAAACAGGUGCUAAUACCGCAUAACCAUGAUGACCGCAUGGUCAUUAUGUAAAAGAUGGUUUCGGCUAUCACUUUUGGAUGGACCCGCGGCGUAUUAACUUGUUGGUGGGGUAACGGCCUACCAAGGUAAUGAUACGUAGCCGAACUGAGAGGUUGAUCGGCCACAUUGGGACUGAGACACGGCCCAAACUCCUACGGGAGGCAGCAGUAGGGAAUCUUCCACAAUGGGCGCAAGCCUGAUGGAGCAACGCCGCGUGAGUGAAGAAGGUCUUCGGAUCGUAAAACUCUGUUGUUAGAGAAGAACAUGCGAGAGAGUAACUGUUCUUGUAUUGACGGUAUCUAACCAGAAAGCCACGGCUAACUACGUGCCAGCAGCCGCGGUAAUACGUAGGUGGCAAGCGUUGUCCGGAUUUAUUGGGCGUAAAGGGAACGCAGGCGGUCCUUUAAGUCUGAUGUGAAAGCCUUCGGCUUAACCGAAGAAUUGCAUUGGAAACUGGAGGACUUGAGUGCAGAAGAGGAGAGUGGAACUCCAUGUGUAGCGGUGAAAUGCGUAGAUAUAUGGAAGAACACCAGUGGCGAAAGCGGCUCUCUGGUCUGUAACUGACGCUGAGGUUCGAAAGUGUGGGUAGCAAACAGGAUUAGAUACCCUGGUAGUCCACACCGUAAACGAUGAAUGCUAAGUGUUGGAGGGUUUCCGCCCUUCAGUGCUGCAGCUAACGCAAUAAGCAUUCCGCCUGGGGAGUACGACCGCAAGGUUGAAACUCAAAGGAAUUGACGGGGGCCCGCACAAGCGGUGGAGCAUGUGGUUUAAUUCGAAGCAACGCGAAGAACCUUACCAG